CGGAACUAUUACAUGGAAUGUCUGUCGCCUGUUUUAAAGAAGGAUCAAAAGAGAUUAUUGGUUUAAGCAUACUAUAUAAAAAAAUCAAGCUUCCUUGGAAUCCGAGUUCUCAAUUGACUUAUGGAUUUAAUGUGUUUCAACAUUACGGAGUUAGUGAAUACUCAAGAGGCAAUGGUAUGGCAACGGAUUAUCGGGCAAGCGGAGUUGGGAAGAAGCUUGUUGAGUGUCGAGAGGUAGUUCGGCACAUCGAGUGCAUUUACCUCCAAAUAUUCAAUUAAAAUAGCUGAUGAUUGCGGAUUUGAGGAAAAUAUAAACAAAGGUUCUUCUCAUGGUGGUUAUAAACAUUUCUCAAUUUUGAAAUCGAAGCGGUAUAAUUUCACGUUCAAUACAAGACUAUACAUUUUAUCGGUGCA
Long non-coding RNA from Contarinia nasturtii (swede midge), 413 nucleotides. RefSeq lists it as uncharacterized. The transcript has 3 exons. The record is from RefSeq and is a predicted model, not a curated record. NCBI's taxonomy places the organism in Eukaryota, Metazoa, Arthropoda, Insecta, Diptera, Cecidomyiidae.